Molecule: long non-coding RNA, 1163 nt
Organism: Mus musculus (house mouse)
Lineage: Eukaryota; Metazoa; Chordata; Mammalia; Rodentia; Muridae
Product: predicted gene, 33336
Exons: 3
Source: RefSeq, a predicted model, not a curated record
GAUGGGAUAUUCCCACUAACUAGAGCACUCGCUAGUCCCUGCUUGGAGCUCAGUGUACCCCAGGCAGUUCUUUCUCUUAUGUAAUUUAACGCACUCAACUGUAUGAUGUCAGUUUCACAGUUUGCAGGUCACACUGGAGAUGGAUGGUGAUGUAACAACAAAAGCUGACCUGGGAGAUGUUCAUGCUAACCCAGGUAAAUGAGGCAAAUGAACAGCUGAGCCUUGCUGGAGAGCCACAAGGCAGCUGGGCCUCCCAGAUAAGUAAUGUGGAUGAGUCAGGGAGUCGCCCACAGCCAGGAAACUUACUUGUCUCACCAAACCAGCCAGGUAGGUAAGUUUCCCUCCAAUUUCAGUGAGCCAAACUUCCUUUGCUGUAAGGCCCCUCUUCUCUAAGCUCUCUCUCUCUCUCUCUCUCUCUCUCUCUCUCUCUCUCUCUCUCUCUCUCUCUCUCUCUUUUAGUAGGGGGAUACAAACCAGAAAGAAUGUAUUUCUUUUUCUUACUACUUCUUGGUUAGUAUAUGAAGAGACAGGUUCCGCUGAGACAUUUCAUAUGUAUACUUAUAUCAUUAUGUACUGUUAUUAUAUCCCACCCGCUGCCACCUCCCAUUCUUCUCUUGGUUGACAUUUUUUUCUUUCCUUAUGUUUAUGUACAUGAAUGUUCUUGCUAUAUAUGUAUGUCUGUGUACCAAAUAUGGACCUGUUGCCUGCCGAGUCCCUAAGAGCACACUGGACCCCUAAGGACUGGAGUUACAGAUGGAUGUCACCAGCCAAAUUUGGCUUCUCAGAGCCUAUGUGACUCAUGUUCACAAAGCGUUUCCAACCUCUCCUUCCGAUGCCUGGCUUCACCUGGGAAGAGGAAACAUUAGCCAGGACUGGGCUAAGCCUGGAGAUCCGAUGGAGAUGUAUACUCACCGGACCAGGACAUCCUCCAAGGAUUAACAAGGAGGGGAUUAGCCUGCCUAUCCAGCCACACCACCACUGUGGGACUAUGAAAGGCAGCCUGUUCUCUGGUCGAGCCAGACUUACUCCGGAGACCCAGUAGAAACUCUACAAGGGAUGCAACAGUGAGCCAUGCUCGCAGACAGACAUAGGCGCCUGACACCACAGAGCCCCCAGUUCCAUAAUCCUGUGACUGAGAGUCACGUCCCCAAACUCCUGGUAUU